CAAAUUCAUUUCUUACAUACCACAUUACCUCGCUAACGUCAAUUGGACCAACCGGACUAUUUUUGGACCUCAGGAGGGGGAGAGUAGGUCAACGUGGAAAUCAACUGCCAACGAACGCGCUUGCUCCAGAUUCCCAUGUUCUUCGAUUGAGUAAAUUUCUACAUAUCACGUAGAACAUAGAUUGGAAACCAUCAUUGAAUAUAUGAAAGUGACUUGAUAUAUCAAAGAAAAUAAAUUUUGGUUGAGUGUUAUGACAAUAUUGGAAACAUUCCGACCAUCAUUAAACUAAAGAAUAUUUGAACUACCAAAAAAAAAGAAUUUGAAUGAAAGUUAUGACAAUG
Long non-coding RNA from Drosophila suzukii, 341 nucleotides. RefSeq lists it as uncharacterized. The record is from RefSeq and is a predicted model, not a curated record. NCBI's taxonomy places the organism in Eukaryota, Metazoa, Arthropoda, Insecta, Diptera, Drosophilidae.